Long non-coding RNA from Pipra filicauda (Wire-tailed manakin), 250 nucleotides. RefSeq lists it as uncharacterized. The record is from RefSeq and is a predicted model, not a curated record. The transcript has 3 exons. NCBI's taxonomy places the organism in Eukaryota, Metazoa, Chordata, Aves, Passeriformes, Pipridae.
AAACUCCCCAGCAAACCUGAGCUGCCGAGGCUGUGUGGAUAGCAGCACAGAAUGGCAGCAACACACUGGUCCUUUUAGAGGUGCAUUCAGCUACAGGAUGCCCACAGAGGGAUGCAGAGAAGUUGAAGCAGCAUUUGCUACUUUCCUGAAGCACAGCUACUUAAGCAGGUUGCACCUGCUCUCAAGGAUACUACCCAAGGAUAAACAUAGAGAAGGCACAAGGCCAGCACCAGAAGUGCUGUUUCCGCAG